ACCUCCCACAAAGGCGUGUCUUUACUUCCCGUGUAUAGACACGUAAGAACUGGAGGCAGAGCAUAAGGACUAAGACCUCACUGUGAGAGCACAGCUGCUGUGUGGAGGCUGUGCAAUGGUCUUUAGUCCUACACUU
Small nucleolar RNA from Elgaria multicarinata webbii, 136 nucleotides. RefSeq annotates it as small nucleolar RNA SNORA38. The transcript has a single exon. NCBI's taxonomy places the organism in Eukaryota, Metazoa, Chordata, Lepidosauria, Squamata, Anguidae. The record is from RefSeq and is a predicted model, not a curated record.